AGAGCGAACGCUGGCGGCAGGCCUAACACAUGCAAGUCGAACGGACUCUUCGGAGUUAGUGGCGGACGGGUGAGUAACACGUGGGAACGUGCCUUUAGGUUCGGAAUAGCUCCUGGAAACGGGUGGUAAUACCGAAUGUGCCCUUCGGGGGAAAGAUUUAUCGCCUUUAGAGCGGCCCGCGUCUGAUUAGCUUGUUGGUGAGGUAAUGGCUCACCAAGGCUACGAUCAGUAGCUGGUCUGAGAGGAUGACCAGCCACAUUGGGACUGAGACACGGCCCAAACUCCUACGGGAGGCAGCAGUGGGGAAUCUUGCGCAAUGGGCGAAAGCCUGACGCAGCCAUGCCGUGUGUAUGAUGAAGGUCUUAGGAUUGUAAAAUCUUUCACCGGUGAAGAUAAUGACUGUAGCCGGAGAAGAAGCCCCGGCUAACUUCGUGCCAGCAGCCGC
This 445-nucleotide ribosomal RNA is filed under the name uncultured soil bacterium. RNAcentral's name for it is "bacterial SSU rRNA". It matches the Rfam family "Bacterial small subunit ribosomal RNA", at positions 26 to 518 of the family's 1533-position model. The record is from RNAcentral.